This is a long non-coding RNA of Macaca mulatta (Rhesus monkey), 3820 nucleotides long. The record is from Ensembl. Lineage: Eukaryota; Metazoa; Chordata; Mammalia; Primates; Cercopithecidae.
AUGGGUUCUCAGUGCCUUGGAAGACCGGUAGAGGCUCUGUCUGUCCCGGCCUGGCAGGCAGAGGGCCCCGGCGCAGGGCGAGGCUCCAGUGCGCAGGCUCGCGGGCGCAGGUGGGAUUGGACAGCGACGAAGGCCGGCGGGCUAGGCGUGGACCCAACUGGCGAGGCUGCUGGGGUUGCGGCGGGGCAGUUGGGGCGGCCCCGCAGGCCCAGAGAUGAGUGUUCUGUGAUUACCCUGGGAUGAUGUUCAGGUAAUGCUGUGUGGUUUUUUCUCUCCUGGGAAGUGGAAGGCAGGAACUUAGAAAGUGAGAUAUAACUAAGAAGGGUCUGUUAAUGAGGACGACAACGUAUUUCCCACACUAGCCUUUGUCAGAGCUCUCUAAGACUACUCCCAGGUUCAGCGAUUGGAUAGAAGGAUUCAUAGGUUUCAGCAGGUAGUCACAUUCAUGGCUAAGAUAUGGUAGACUGAAAAGGUACAAAGCAAAAUCAACAAAGGAAAAUCAGACACAAUCUCCCCAGAAUAUUCUCCUUGUGAGUCACGUAGGAUGCACUUAAUUUUCUGAAUAACAAGGUAUGAGAACUUGUGUGAAGUGUUGUCUAUCAGGGAAGCUCAUCUGAACAUAAGAAUUUAGGGUCUUUAUCAGGGGUUAGUCAAGGGCACAGACUGUCAGUGCGACUGAUAGCAGUCACUGAAAUUCCAGAUACCUAGAAGGAAAGAAGAUGUUUUAGGAGAAAUGAGCUACUUUUCUCAUUUAGAAAAAAUUUUGCAUUAGUAUAGGCAAUGAUUUUACCAGCCAAGUUCCCAGACACCAGCCAAGGGCCAGUCUUGUAUGCAGGCAUUCCUAAGGAGACUCGUCUUGGACCUGGUAGGUGAAGUCAUGAACUUUUGUCUGUGCACAUAUGUGAUGUGUAUACAUUCCUGACUUACAUGAUCUCAGUUAUGGAAAUGGUUCAGCUGCACCCAGUAAAUAAGUAGUUCUCUGGAGUACGGAAGCUGAGGUCUACUAAUGAAACCGUGCCCCAGAGAGUUAAUCAGUGGCAAAGAGAAAUUCUUGAAUUUAUAGGAUUGGUUGAUAAAAACAAAAAACAAAAACAACUUUCUGAAACACUGAAAUUCUCUCUGCUUUUAAGAUAACAAAACUGGCUGAAAUCAGUUGGAACCAAUAUGGCAAACUAGAGUCUACAUAGUAUGAGCUUGCUGAGACCACAGCCCACAUUUCCACUGCAUGUUUUGUACUAACUCCCCCGGAAUUUACAUAUGUGACCCAUGAGACAGCAUGAAGAGAUACUGCACAUAACCAAAGCCUUUUCAGCCACCCUUUUCUUUCUGCCAAUCUCCUGCUAUCCCCAAAUUCACUCCCUCAAUGUGUUCUAAUAAAAAUACUGCCUUAAAAACAGUACAUGGAGACAGAUUUGAGCUAGACUCCUGUCUCCCUGUUGGUUGACCUACAAAAAAGUCUUUCUUUUCUCAAAAACCCAGUGCCAUAGUAUUGGCUUCUAACACAUUAAACAGUGAACUUUUUUGCUUGGUAACAGUGAUUGGAGGUACAGGAAUUGUGUAUUUUGAAAUAAAGCACCCUCUUGUAAUUACUGAUACACUUCCAAAAGAGAGAGAGAGGAAUGUAGGAAGGAGGGAAGAAAAAAAGUUUAAACAGACAGAUGGACAAACGGAUGGACCUGAGGUUCAGGAGGUUGGAGGGAAUAUGCCAAAGCAAUUUAUAUCAUGAAUGAAAUAAACAGUAGAAGGUUGUUUGCCUUGGCACCUUAAUAGCAGAGGCAUCCAGAUAACAGAGUCAUUUCGGAAAGAUGUCUUAAGUCAUUAAUUACUUUUACUUGAACCAUUCUAAUAAUUGAAAAAGUAUUUACUUAGAAUGUAGCUCAUGGCAACGCUAUCAUCAGUGCCUGGGUUUCAAGGGGUGAAGCAUUGUUGACAUAGGGUUCCAGCGCCUUUGGAACGUUAAGUCUUCCAUUGUUCCAAUGGAUGCUCACAGUAAUCCUUAGUGAGCUUGCUGCUAACACAGAUGGGGACAGUUUGUUCUCAUGUCUAUGAUGGGUGGGUAGCAACUAUUUUUUAAUGUUUAAACUUACAUUAGUCACUUGAUAUUAUCUUUAUACAAGUGUUUCUAUAUUUUAUUUUAAUUGAAGUACAUUAUCUUUUUGCGGCUUUUUAAAAAUCAACUUUAUUGAGGUAUAAUUAUGUAUAAAGCUUUUAACCUUGCAAAUAAAGACGGUUUUCUUUCUUCCUCCCCAAUAUUAAUCCUUUUAUUUUAUUUUUCUUGUUUUGUCUGAUUGCACUGGGCGAACUGUCAGUGGCUCUGGAGGUAGCACUUCAGCACUUCACUUCUCCCCGCUUCCCUCUGAGCCCCCAGCCCUCACACUCACAUACUACAGGGAAUAAGAAACCAUGGAAUGACAUUUCUUAAUGGUUACGUUUAUAAUCAGAAAAAGCAAUACCACCAUUCUUUAUAAAAAACUAAAAAUCAUUAUUAAAAGGCAUAAAACCUGCCAAAUAAUUACUAGUAGCCUAAGAAGCUUGUACUGAGAAUUUAGUCACAGGAAAUACAGAUUUCAGAGGAAAGAACUCUUAUCCCUGGGGUAACUACAGGUAGGGCAAGAGUCAGUCACUAUUGAACAUUUGAGACUUCUUUCAUUCCCUUCUCUUCAGGCUAGUGUAGGUCUCAGGGAGUAGUGUGUGAUAGGACUUUCACAAGAAUUAGAGGUAGCCCCAGCCCUGGUGCUAAGAAUUGACAGAGGCCGAAGGUGCUGAGCAUGUCAUUUUAAAUUGUAUGUUUUCGCGUCUUGCACCCAACCCAAAGUCCACUGUGAAGAAAUAGUCUUUGUUAGCACCUGUUUCAGUUUUGAGAGAGUUUGAGAUAGACUGAAAAUCCUGUCCUGGCUGAGGAUUUGAGAAUAUGUACAGUAUUCACUGAUUCUCCAAUUAUGUCACCCUGCCACCUGAGGAAAGGUGUUUUGCUUUUGUUUCUUGAGCAAACUAAACACUUGUAGUUUUUCUUUUUUUUAUGAUUAGAUGGGAUCACUUUGUUUCAUAUUGGAGCUUUUGUUCCUCUAUCCUCAGUGCUCUAUCAUAGAAUAAGUAAUACUUUUAAAAGGAUUUCCCUUUUAUCAGGGCUAAUUCUCUAUUUUCUAUACUAUUGCACCUUCCCCAGGAGUUGGAGGGAAACCUUCGUCUUACGGAUCUGACCACUGGCCCCUCAAUAUCUUUCACAAUCUUUCCCUCAGGGACCGAGUGCCUGUCACUCAAGUGAUACCUCUGUGACUUCUCAGAGCUCUUGAUGUGGACAUGCAGAUUAGUUACCUGGUGAUACAUACACCUUCUUUAUGGAAUUAACUAAUUAGUCCCUCAAACAUUUCUUGCAUGUCUCCAAUGUGUUAGUUUAGUGGCUGGAGAUUAAAAAAUGAAAAUGUUAUAGUUUCUGUCCUCAAGAUGCUUCUGGUCCAACCCUAGGAGAUGAGUCCAGAAAUCAUUAUAAAACAUGGAGCUUAUAGGGGAAGCACUUGCAGGGGCUUACUUAGCCAAGCUUGAGGGGAGGUGGGAAAUAUGGUAAAAGCUUGCACUAUAUUUUCUGAAAAGUUUUCUUCUGCAAAUGAAGAUUUUGUUUUUAUCAUAUAGUUUACUUUUCUAGGCUAUCUAAAAUUUCAGUACACAUGUGUUGAUGUUGACUUGUGUGAUCCUAUUACUGAUUUACUACAGUAGCUGCAACUCAAAAUUGAAUUAAAUGUUAAUCAUUUUAAUAUUGCUUUGUUUUGUCUAUUUUAAGAUACACUAGAAAACAUGUCAGGAAAGGGAAAUUUAUCCAGUU